GGUUAAGCGACUAAGCGUACACGGUGGAUGCCCUGGCAGUCAGAGGCGAUGAAGGGCGUGCUAAUCUGCGAUAAGCGCCGGUAAGGUGAUAUGAACCGUUAUAACCGGCGAUACCCGAAUGGGGAAACCCAGUGUGACUCGUCACACUAUCAUUAACUGAAUCCAUAGGUUAAUGAGGCGAACCGGGGGAACUGAAACAUCUAAGUACCCCGAGGAAAAGAAAUCAACCGAGAUUCCCCCAGUAGCGGCGAGCGAACGGGGAGGAGCCCAGAGCCUGAAUCAGCAUGUGUGUUAGUGGAAGCGUCUGGAAAGGCGCGCGAUACAGGGUGACAGCCCCGUACACAAAAGCGCAUGUGCUGUGAGCUCGAUGAGUAGGGCGGGACACGUGGUAUCCUGUCUGAAUAUGGGGGGACCAUCCUCCAAGGCUAAAUACUCCUGACUGACCGAUAGUGAACCAGUACCGUGAGGGAAAGGCGAAAAGAACCCCGGCGAGGGGAGUGAAAAAGAACCUGAAACCGUGUACGUACAAGCAGUGGGAGCACAGGUUUACCUGUGUGACUGCGUACCUUUUGUAUAAUGGGUCAGCGACUUAUAUUCUGUAGCAAGGUUAACCGUAUAGGGGAGCCGUAGGGAAACCGAGUCUUAACCGGGCGUUAAGUUGCAGGGUAUAGACCCGAAACCCGGUGAUCUAGCCAUGGGCAGGUUGAAGGUUGGGUAACACUAACUGGAGGACCGAACCGACUAAUGUUGAAAAAUUAGCGGAUGACCUGUGGCUGGGGGUGAAAGGCCAAUCAAACCGGGAGAUAGCUGGUUCUCCCCGAAAGCUAUUUAGGUAGCGCCUCGUGAAUUCAUCUCCGGGGGUAGAGCACUGUUUCGGCUAGGGGGCCAUCCCGGCUUACCAACCCGAUGCAAACUGCGAAUACCGGAGAAUGUUAUCACGGGAGACACACGGCGGGUGCUAACGUCCGUCGUGAAGAGGGAAACAACCCAGACCGCCAGCUAAGGUCCCAAAGUCAUGGUUAAGUGGGAAACGAUGUGGGAAGGCCCAGACAGCCAGGAUGUUGGCUUAGAAGCAGCCAUCAUUUAAAGAAAGCGUAAUAGCUCACUGGUCGAGUCGGCCUGCGCGGAAGAUGUAACGGGGCUAAACCAUGCACCGAAGCUGCGGCAGCGAACGUAUCACUUAAAGCGAUUCAGCGGGUUACGAUUGACGGAGCGAAGCGACGUCAAAGCGUAUACAAAGUCGAGUCGGUUUAAGGAUACGUUCGUUGGGUAGGGGAGCGUUCUGUAAGCCUGCGAAGGUGGCCUGUGAGGGUUGCUGGAGGUAUCAGAAGUGCGAAUGCUGACAUAAGUAACGAUAAAGCGGGUGAAAAGCCCGCUCGCCGGAAGACCAAGGGUUCCUGUCCAACGUUAAUCGGGGCAGGGUGAGUCGACCCCUAAGGCGAGGCCGAAAGGCGUAGUCGAUGGGAAACGGGUUAAUAUUCCCGUACUUGGUGUUACUGCGAAGGGGGGACGGAGAAGGCUAUGUUGGCCGGGCGACGGUUGUCCCGGUUUAAGCGUGUAGGUGUGUGUUCCAGGUAAAUCCGGUUCACUUUAACACUGAGGCGUGACGACGAGGCACUACGGUGCUGAAGCAACAAAUGCCCUGCUUCCAGGAAAAGCCUCUAAGCAUCAGGUAACAUCAAAUCGUACCCCAAACCGACACAGGUGGUCAGGUAGAGAAUACCAAGGCGCUUGAGAGAACUCGGGUGAAGGAACUAGGCAAAAUGGUGCCGUAACUUCGGGAGAAGGCACGCUGACACGUAGGUGAAGUGAUUUACUCAUGGAGCUGAAGUCAGUCGAAGAUACCAGCUGGCUGCAACUGUUUAUUAAAAACACAGCACUGUGCAAACACGAAAGUGGACGUAUACGGUGUGACGCCUGCCCGGUGCCGGAAGGUUAAUUGAUGGGGUCAGCGCAAGCGAAGCUCCUGAUCGAAGCCCCGGUAAACGGCGGCCGUAACUAUAACGGUCCUAAGGUAGCGAAAUUCCUUGUCGGGUAAGUUCCGACCUGCACGAAUGGCGUAAUGAUGGCCAGGCUGUCUCCACCCGAGACUCAGUGAAAUUGAACUCGCUGUGAAGAUGCAGUGUACCCGCGGCAAGACGGAAAGACCCCGUGAACCUUUACUAUAGCUUGACACUGAACAUUGAGCCUUGAUGUGUAGGAUAGGUGGGAGGCUUUGAAGCGUGGACGCCAGUCUGCGUGGAGCCGACCUUGAAAUACCACCCUUUAAUGUUUGAUGUUCUAACGUGGACCCGUGAUCCGGGUUGCGGACAGUGUCUGGUGGGUAGUUUGACUGGGGCGGUCUCCUCCUAAAGAGUAACGGAGGAGCACGAAGGUUGGCUAAUCCUGGUCGGACAUCAGGAGGUUAGUGCAAUGGCAUAAGCCAGCUUGACUGCGAGCGUGACGGCGCGAGCAGGUGCGAAAGCAGGUCAUAGUGAUCCGGUGGUUCUGAAUGGAAGGGCCAUCGCUCAACGGAUAAAAGGUACUCCGGGGAUAACAGGCUGAUACCGCCCAAGAGUUCAUAUCGACGGCGGUGUUUGGCACCUCGAUGUCGGCUCAUCACAUCCUGGGGCUGAAGUAGGUCCCAAGGGUAUGGCUGUUCGCCAUUUAAAGUGGUACGCGAGCUGGGUUUAGAACGUCGUGAGACAGUUCGGUCCCUAUCUGCCGUGGGCGCUGGAGAACUGAGGGGGGCUGCUCCUAGUACGAGAGGACCGGAGUGGACGCAUCACUGGUGUUCGGGUUGUCAUGCCAAUGGCACUGCCCGGUAGCUAAAUGCGGAAGAGAUAAGUGCUGAAAGCAUCUAAGCACGAAACUUGCCCCGAGAUGAGUUCUCCCUGAGACUUAGAGUCUCCUGAAGGAACGUUGAAGACGACGACGUUGAUAGGCCGGGUGUGUAAGCGCAGCGAUGCGUUGAGCUAACCGGUACUAAUGAACCGUGAGGCUUAACCUUAC
This 2991-nucleotide ribosomal RNA is filed under the name Salmonella enterica subsp. enterica serovar Hartford str. CFSAN001075. RNAcentral describes it as "bacterial LSU rRNA". It matches the Rfam family "Bacterial large subunit ribosomal RNA". The record is from RNAcentral. Lineage: Bacteria; Pseudomonadati; Pseudomonadota; Gammaproteobacteria; Enterobacterales; Enterobacteriaceae.